RNAcentral lists this ribosomal RNA (253 nucleotides) under uncultured bacterium. Its description in RNAcentral is "partial 16S ribosomal RNA". It matches the Rfam family "Bacterial small subunit ribosomal RNA", at positions 524 to 776 of the family's 1533-position model. The record is from RNAcentral.
UACGAAGGGAGCUAGCGUUGUUCGGAAUUACUGGGCGUAAAGGGCGCGUAGGCGGUUCGACAAGUUGGAUGUGAAAGCCCAGGGCUCAACCCUGGAAUUGCAUUCAAGACUGUCUUACUUGAAUUCGGUAGAGGUUGGUGGAAUUCCCAGUGUAGAGGUGAAAUUCGUAGAGAUUGGGAAGAACACCCGUGGCGAAGGCGGCCAACUGGACCGACAUUGACGCUGAGGCGCGAAAGCGUGGGGAUCAAACAGG